AGUGAACGCUGGCGGUAUGCCUAAUACAUGCAAGUCGAACGGAAGCACAGUAAGAGCUUGCUCUUAAUGGUGGCGAGUGGCGGACGGGUGAGGAAUAGAUAGGAAUCUAAUAUUUCGUGGGGGACAACGUAGAGAAAGUGACGAUAAUAGAGAAUACGAUCUACGGGUGAAAGCAGAGGAGAUUCGGACCUUGCGCGAUUGAAAGAGACGGUGUCGGAUUAGCUAGUUGGCGAGGUAAAGGAACACCAAGGCGACGAUACGUAGCUGGUCUGAGAGGAUGAUCAGCCACACUGGAACUGAGACACGGUCCAGACUCCUACGGGAGGCAGCAGUAGGGAAUAUUCGACAAUGGGCGCAAGCCUGAUCCAGCCAUGCCGCGUGAGUGAAGAAGGCCUUCGGAUUGUAAAACCCUUUUAUUAGGGAAGAAAAGCAGUAUGUUAAUACCCCGCUGUUCUGACGGUACCCAAAGAAUAAGCACCGGCUAACUUCGUG
RNAcentral lists this ribosomal RNA (492 nucleotides) under uncultured bacterium. Its description in RNAcentral is "partial 16S ribosomal RNA". It matches the Rfam family "Bacterial small subunit ribosomal RNA", at positions 29 to 507 of the family's 1533-position model. The record is from RNAcentral.